Molecule: ribosomal RNA, 253 nt
Filed under: uncultured bacterium
Lineage: Bacteria
Description: partial 16S ribosomal RNA
Rfam family: Bacterial small subunit ribosomal RNA
Source: RNAcentral
UACGUAGGUGGCAAGCGUUGUCCGGAUUUACUGGGCGUAAAGAGCGCGCAGGCGGUCGUUCAAGUCGCGUGUGAAAGCCCCCGGCUCAACUGGGGAGGGUCACGCGAUACUGAUCGACUCGAAGGCAGGAGAGGGAAGUGGAAUUCCCGGUGUAGUGGUGAAAUGCGUAGAUAUCGGGAGGAACACCAGUGGCGAAGGCGGCUUCCUGGCCUGCUCUUGACGCUGAGGCGCGAAAGCUAGGGUAGCAAACGGG